This 753-nucleotide ribosomal RNA is filed under the name uncultured bacterium. RNAcentral's name for it is "bacterial SSU rRNA". It matches the Rfam family "Bacterial small subunit ribosomal RNA", at positions 28 to 776 of the family's 1533-position model. The record is from RNAcentral.
GAUGAACGCUAGCGGCAGGCUUAACACAUGCAAGUCGAGGGGUAACAUGAGUGCUUGCACUUGAUGACGACCGGCGCACGGGUGAGUAACGCGUAUAGAAUCUGCCUUAUACAGGAGGAUAGCCUUUAGAAAUGAAGAUUAAUACUCCAUAAUAUUAUAGAUUGGCAUCAAUUUAUAAUUAAAGAUUUAUUGGUAUAAGAUGACUAUGCGUCCUAUUAGUUAGUUGGUAAGGUAACGGCUUACCAAGGCGGCGAUAGGUAGGGGGUCUGAGAGGAUUAUCCCCCACACUGGUACUGAGACACGGACCAGACUCCUACGGGAGGCAGCAGUGAGGAAUAUUGGACAAUGGGCGAGAGCCUGAUCCAGCCAUGCCGCGUGCAGGAAGACUGCCCUAUGGGUUGUAAACUGCUUUUAUACAGGAAGAAACCUACUUACGUGUAAGUAGCUGACGGUACUGUAAGAAUAAGCACCGGCUAACUCCGUGCCAGCAGCCGCGGUAAUACGGAGGGUGCAAGCGUUAUCCGGAAUCAUUGGGUUUAAAGGGUCCGCAGGCGGUCAAUUAAGUCAGAGGUGAAAUCCUAUCGCUUAACGAUAGAACUGCCUUUGAUACUGGUUGACUUGAGUCAUAUGGAAGUAGAUAGAAUAAGUAGUGUAGCGGUGAAAUGCAUAGAUAUUACUUAGAAUACCGAUUGCGAAGGCAGUCUACUACGUAUGUACUGACGCUCAUGGACGGAAGCGUGGGGAGCGAACAGG